UACGUAGGGUGCGAGCGUUAAUCGGAAUUACUGGGCGUAAAGCGUGCGCAGGCGGUUUUGUAAGUCAGAUGUGAAAUCCCCGGGCUUAACCUGGGAAUGGCAUUUGGGACUGCAAGGCUGGAGUGUGGCAGAGGAGACUGGAAUUCCCGGUGUAGCAGUGAAAUGCGUAGAUAUCGGGAGGAAUACCGAUGGCGAAGGCAAUCCCCUGGGCCUGCACUGACGCUCAUGCACGAAAGCGUGGGGAGCAAACAGG
This 253-nucleotide ribosomal RNA is filed under the name uncultured bacterium. RNAcentral describes it as "partial 16S ribosomal RNA". It matches the Rfam family "Bacterial small subunit ribosomal RNA", at positions 524 to 776 of the family's 1533-position model. The record is from RNAcentral.